AAUUUGACUCAACACGGGGAAACUUACCAGGUUAAAACAUUAGUGGGAUUGACAGAUUGAGAGCUCUUUCUUGAUUCAAUGGGUGGUGGUGCAUGGCCGUUCUUAGUUCGUGGAGUGAUUUGUCUGCUUAAUUGCGAUAACGCGACGAGACCAUUACCUGCUUACUAGACACGUGAUGUCAAUCGCGUGCUCUUCUUAGAGGGACUUUGGAAUUUCAAUUCCAAGGAAGUUGGUGGCUAUAACAGGUCUGUGAUGCCC
RNAcentral lists this ribosomal RNA (258 nucleotides) under uncultured marine eukaryote. Its description in RNAcentral is "partial small subunit ribosomal RNA". It matches the Rfam family "Eukaryotic small subunit ribosomal RNA", at positions 1192 to 1472 of the family's 1831-position model. The record is from RNAcentral.